This is a long non-coding RNA of Suricata suricatta (meerkat), 439 nucleotides long. RefSeq lists it as uncharacterized. The record is from RefSeq and is a predicted model, not a curated record. The transcript is spliced from 3 exons. NCBI's taxonomy places the organism in Eukaryota, Metazoa, Chordata, Mammalia, Carnivora, Herpestidae.
GCCAGAAAUUUGAGGGGUGUUUGAACUCACCAGGCCCCCGCAUUGGAAGACUGCAACAUUAGAAGAAACCCUGCAUGAGCUUCCUGCCUGCUGGCCUGCACUGCAGAUUUCAGACUCAAGACUGCAACAUUAACUUUUCAGUGUUCUUGCCUGCACUACAAAUUUCAGCCUCACCAAGCCCCAUGAUCAUGAAAAUUUUGAAGGUCUGCACUCCAGAAUUCAUCUCCUUUCCUGCCCCGGCCAGUGGGCCAGACCUUGAAGGAAAUUUUAUGGCUGCAGACUGAAAAAUUGAGGACCUGUAACCCGCAUUUUUACACUUCAAAAUUGAGCACUUCACAUCCACUAGGCAACAUGUUAUAUUUAACUUGCAUUAUGUCUAGUCAUAUACUCACCUGAAAAUAUACGUGUUUUUCAUUGUGAAUAAGAUUUGUUUCAUAAA